RNAcentral lists this ribosomal RNA (478 nucleotides) under uncultured bacterium. RNAcentral describes it as "bacterial SSU rRNA". It matches the Rfam family "Bacterial small subunit ribosomal RNA", at positions 328 to 793 of the family's 1533-position model. The record is from RNAcentral.
UGACAGUACUCCUACGGGGAGGCAGCAGUGGGGGAAUAUUGCACAAUGGGCGCAAGCCUGAUGCAGCCAUGCCGCGUGUGUGAAGAAGGACCUUCGGGUUGUAAAGCACUUUCAGUCGUGAGGAAGGUAGUGUAGUUAAUAGCUGCAUUAUUUGACGUUAGCGACAGAAGAAGCACCGGCUAACUCCGUGCCAGCAGCCGCGGUAAUACGGAGGGUGCGAGCGUUAAUCGGAAUUACUGGGCGUAAAGCGCAUGCAGGUGGUUUGUUAAGUCAGAUGUGAAAGCCCGGGGCUCAACCUCGGAAUAGCAUUUGAAACUAGGCAGACUAGAGUACUGUAGAGGGGGGUAGGAAUUUCAGGUGUAGCGGUGAAAUGCGUAGAGAUCUGAAGGAAUACCGGUGGCGAAGGCGGCCCCCUGGACAGAUACUGACACUCAGAUGCGAAAGCGUGGGGAGCAAACAGGAUUAGAUACCCUGGUAG